This 22-nucleotide non-coding RNA is filed under the name Arabidopsis thaliana (thale cress). Lineage: Eukaryota; Viridiplantae; Streptophyta; Magnoliopsida; Brassicales; Brassicaceae. The record is from RNAcentral.
GUAAGCGCCUCCCUCAGACCUA